CACGUAGGGCGCGAGCGUUGUCCGGAAUUAUUGGGCGUAAAGAGCUCGUAGGCGGCCUGUUGCGUCCGCUGUGAAAGCCCGGGGCUUAACCCCGGGUCGGCAGUGGAUACGGGCAAGCUAGAGGUAGGUAGGGGAGAAUGGAAUUCCCGGUGUAGCGGUGAAAUGCGCAGAUAUCGGGAGGAACACCGGUGGCGAAGGCGGUUCUCUGGGCCUUACCUGACGCUGAGGAGCGAAAGCGUGGGGAGCGAACAGG
Molecule: ribosomal RNA, 253 nt
Filed under: uncultured bacterium
Lineage: Bacteria
Description: partial 16S ribosomal RNA
Rfam family: Bacterial small subunit ribosomal RNA
Source: RNAcentral